GAUGAACGCUGGCGGCGUGCCUAAUACAUGCAAGUCGAGCGAACAGACGAGGAGCUUGCUCCUCUGACGUUAGCGGCGGACGGGUGAGUAACACGUGGAUAACCUACCUAUAAGACUGGGAUAACUUCGGGAAACCGGAGCUAAUACCGGAUAAUAUAUUGAACCGCAUGGUUCAAUAGUGAAAGACGGUUUUGCUGUCACUUAUAGAUGGAUCCGCGCCGCAUUAGCUAGUUGGUAAGGUAACGGCUUACCAAGGCAACGAUGCGUAGCCGACCUGAGAGGGUGAUCGGCCACACUGAAACUGAGACACGGUCCAGACUCCUACGGGAGGCAGCAGUAGGGAAUCUUCGGCAAUGGGCGAAAGCCUGACGGAGCAACGCCGCGUGAGUGAUGAAGGUCUUCGGAUCGUAAAACUCUGUUAUUAGGGAAGAACAGAUGUGUAAGUAACUAUGCACGUCUUGACGGUACCUAAUCAGAAAGCCACGGCUAACUACGUG
RNAcentral lists this ribosomal RNA (497 nucleotides) under uncultured bacterium. RNAcentral describes it as "partial 16S ribosomal RNA". It matches the Rfam family "Bacterial small subunit ribosomal RNA", at positions 28 to 507 of the family's 1533-position model. The record is from RNAcentral.